Long non-coding RNA from Rosa rugosa (rugosa rose), 206 nucleotides. RefSeq lists it as uncharacterized. Lineage: Eukaryota; Viridiplantae; Streptophyta; Magnoliopsida; Rosales; Rosaceae. The record is from RefSeq and is a predicted model, not a curated record. The transcript is spliced from 3 exons.
UCCAGCAAGCUUUGCCUCGACGUCCCGAGCUCCAAGGUGCCGUUGAUUUACUCUUCGACGUAUGAUAUCGCAUUUCUCGGCAUUGAGAAGCUGCACCCGUUCGAUUCGGCUAAAUGGGGUCGGAUAUGUAGAUUCCUGUCCAUGGAUGAUGUUGCGGACAAAAAUUGGAUUGUAGAGCUAAAGGAAGCUACAAAGGAAGAUCUUCU